This 274-nucleotide ribosomal RNA is filed under the name uncultured bacterium. RNAcentral's name for it is "partial 16S ribosomal RNA". It matches the Rfam family "Bacterial small subunit ribosomal RNA", at positions 523 to 796 of the family's 1533-position model. The record is from RNAcentral.
AUACGGAGGGUGCGAGCGUUAAUCGGAAUUACUGGGCGUAAAGGGUGCGUAGGCGGUUUUUUAAGUCAGAUGUGAAAGCCCUGGGCUUAACCUGGGAACUGCAUUUGAAACUGGGAGGCUAGAGUUUGGUAGAGGGGAGUGGAAUUUCCGGUGUAGCGGUGAAAUGCGUAGAGAUCGGAAGGAACACCAGUGGCGAAGGCGACUCUCUGGACCAAAACUGACGCUGAGGUGCGAAAGCGUGGGUAGCAAACAGGAUUAGAUACCCCAGUAGUCC